GUACACAAAAAUGCACAUACUGUGAGCUCGAUGAGUAGGGCGGGACACGUGGUAUCCUGUCUGAAUAUGGGGGGACCAUCCUCCAAGGCUAAAUACUCCUGACUGACCGAUAGUGAACCAGUACCGUGAGGGAAAGGCGAAAAGAACCCCGGCGAGGGGAGUGAAAAAGAACCUGAAACCGUGUACGUACAAGCAGUGGGAGCCUCUUAAUGGGGUGACUGCGUACCUUUUGUAUAAUGGGUCAGCGACUUAUAUUCUGUAGCAAGGUUAACCGAAUAGGGGAGCCGAAGGGAAACCGAGUCUUAACUGGGCGUUAAGUUGCAGGGUAUAGACCCGAAACCCGGUGAUCUAGCCAUGGGCAGGUUGAAGGUUGGGUAACACUAACUGGAGGACCGAACCGACUAAUGUUGAAAAAUUAGCGGAUGACUUGUGGCUGGGGGUGAAAGGCCAAUCAAACCGGGAGAUAGCUGGUUCUCCCCGAAAGCUAUUUAGGUAGCGCCUCGUGAAUUCAUCUCCGGGGGUAGAGCACUGUUUCGGCAAGGGGGUCAUCCCGACUUACCAACCCGAUGCAAACUGCGAAUACCGGAGAAUGUUAUCACGGGAGACACACGGCGGGUGCUAACGUCCGUCGUGAAGAGGGAAACAACCCAGACCGCCAGCUAAGGUCCCAAAGUCAUGGUUAAG
Molecule: ribosomal RNA, 684 nt
Filed under: Escherichia coli
Lineage: Bacteria; Pseudomonadati; Pseudomonadota; Gammaproteobacteria; Enterobacterales; Enterobacteriaceae
Description: partial 23S ribosomal RNA
Rfam family: Bacterial large subunit ribosomal RNA
Source: RNAcentral